RNAcentral lists this unclassified non-coding RNA (344 nucleotides) under uncultured bacterium. RNAcentral's name for it is "contains 16S-23S intergenic spacer region". The record is from RNAcentral.
AAUCCGAGAAUUUCACCUCUGACAAUUAAAUACGAAUGCCCCCAACUGUCCCUCUUAAUCAUUACUUCGGCCCUGGAAACCAACAAAAUAGGACCGAGGUCCUCUUCCAUUAUUCCAUGCUAACGUAUUCAGGCGACGGCCUGCCUUGAACACUCUAAUUUGUUCAAAGUAAACGUCCCGAACUCCCCGACCACUGCAGUAAAGAGCAGUCGGGGCCUUCGAGAGGAAGGGCGCCCGACCAGUACUCGCCUCGCGGCGGACCAGCCGGGCCGCCCCGAAAUCCAACUACGAGCUUUUUAACUGCAACAACUUUAAUAUACGCUAUUGGAGCUGGAAUUACCGCU